RNAcentral lists this transfer RNA (69 nucleotides) under Rhabdopleura sp. NHMO H2137. RNAcentral describes it as "tRNA-Arg". The record is from RNAcentral. Lineage: Eukaryota; Metazoa; Hemichordata; Pterobranchia; Rhabdopleurida; Rhabdopleuridae.
AAAAGGUUGUAGGUUAAAGUUAUAAACUUGGGGGUUUCGGUUCUCUAGAUCUUUUUUAAAGUUUCCUUU